RNAcentral lists this ribosomal RNA (253 nucleotides) under uncultured bacterium. Its description in RNAcentral is "partial 16S ribosomal RNA". It matches the Rfam family "Bacterial small subunit ribosomal RNA", at positions 524 to 776 of the family's 1533-position model. The record is from RNAcentral.
GGCAGAGGUCCCGAGCGUUAGGCGGAAUCACUGGGCUUAAAGCGUGUGUAGGCGGACGGGUAAGUACCUUGUGAAAUCCCACGGCUCAACCGUGGAACUGCUGGGUAUACUGCCUGUCUUGAGCCAGCUAGGGGCGACCGGAACAGACGGUGGAGCGGUGAAAUGCGUAGAUAUCGUCUGGAACGCCAAUGGUGAAAACAGGUCGCUGGGGCUGUGCUGACGCUGAGACACGAAAGCCAGGGGAGCAAACGGG